UAGGGAAUCUUCCACAAUGGACGAAAGUCUGAUGGAGCAACGCCGCGUGAGUGAUGAAGGGUUUCGGCUCGUAAAACUCUGUUGUUGGAGAAGAACAGGUGAUAGAGUAACUGUUAUCAUCUUGACGGUAUCCAACCAGAAAGCCACGGCUAACUACGUGCCAGCAGCCGCGGUAAUACGUAGGUGGCAAGCGUUGUCCGGAUUUAUUGGGCGUAAAGCGAGCGCAGGCGGUUUUUUAGGUCUGAUGUGAAAGCCUUCGGCUUAACCGGAGAAGGGCAUCGGAAACCGGGAGACUUGAGUGCAGAAGAGGACAGUGGAACUCCAUGUGUAGCGGUGAAAUGCGUAGAUAUAUGGAAGAACACCAGUGGCGAAGGCGGCUGUCUGGUCUGUAACUGACGCUGAGGCUCGAAAGCAUGGGUAGCGAACAGGAUUAGAUACCCUGGUAGUCCAUGCCGUAAACGAUGAGUGCUAAGUGUUGGAGGGUUUCCGCCCUUCAGUGCUGCAGCUAACGCAUUAAGCACUCCGCCUGGGGGAGUACGACCGCAAGGUUGAAAC
This 555-nucleotide ribosomal RNA is filed under the name uncultured bacterium. RNAcentral describes it as "partial 16S ribosomal RNA". It matches the Rfam family "Bacterial small subunit ribosomal RNA", at positions 355 to 900 of the family's 1533-position model. The record is from RNAcentral.